Microtus oregoni (creeping vole) is the source of this 259-nucleotide long non-coding RNA. RefSeq lists it as uncharacterized. The record is from RefSeq and is a predicted model, not a curated record. NCBI's taxonomy places the organism in Eukaryota, Metazoa, Chordata, Mammalia, Rodentia, Cricetidae. The transcript is spliced from 3 exons.
UGAAUUCAGGGUUUCGUACCCACCAGGCCUCUGUUCCUCCGGUCUUCAUGUCCCAGGAUUCUCAUGCUGUGAGGAGCUUCCCUUGGACCUGAUAUCAGUUUGCCACCUACUGUGUGGGACUUAAGUGACAGACACAGGAGAAUGUCUACAAAUCACCUUCAAACUUCAAGUUUCGUGAAUCAGAGCCACGGGUUUAAUUGAGAGCAUUGAAUCUUUUAGGCUCACUCCUCAGGGAGCUGACAAAGGCGCCCGAAGUCAA